GGCCAGCAUCGGAGUGGGGGGAGACAAAAAAGAAAAGGAAUGUAUCCUUUCGAGUAUUAUAGCCUAAUUCGAAUAUCUCCACCCCCUUCCGAGGCCUGCGAUUCUAUCAAGGAUCUGGCGUAAU
RNAcentral lists this ribosomal RNA (124 nucleotides) under Metschnikowia reukaufii. RNAcentral's name for it is "partial 26S rRNA". The record is from RNAcentral. Lineage: Eukaryota; Fungi; Ascomycota; Pichiomycetes; Serinales; Metschnikowiaceae.